Heterocephalus glaber (naked mole-rat) is the source of this 1406-nucleotide long non-coding RNA. The record is from Ensembl. Lineage: Eukaryota; Metazoa; Chordata; Mammalia; Rodentia; Bathyergidae.
AAAACUUUUCUUUAGCAUUGCAAAGUAAUAUGUGUCCCCAAAUAUUUUAGGUACAUUAUGUCUCUCUUGCUCUCUGCUCUCUCCUCUCCUCUCCUCCUCCUCCUCUUCUUCUUCUUUCUUCUCCUUCUCCUCCUUCUCCUCCUUCUUCUUCUUCUCUCUCUCUCUCUCUCUCUCUUGACAAGGAGAAAUACAGAUGAAACAACCAUAAUUUUAACAUUACUGUUCAUCUGGUUGAAAUCAUCGAAUUCCUUCUUUUGGUAUUGAGAAAAGUUCCCACUCAUUUGAAGUAAUAGGUACAGUAAUGCCUUUUGUAAUCUACAAUCCUGCUGUCUUCUAAGUGAGACUGACUAUAUUUUGUUAGUUUUAGAAUGGAAAACAUGAAGAUAAAAUUGUCUUGGAAUAAAACAUUUGUUUGUGCAGUGAAGUGGACCCUAAGAUGUGACUAAAUGGACAUUGAUUAAAAGGAACAGAAGCACUGAUGUCUACAGAUCCUGUUACAGUCUACUGAGGAAAGAAAGGAAGAACCAAUAUGGGAGAUAGAACCACUAGUCUUUUCCACAGGUUACUACCAAGAAUCUAGAGAAAACAUAACAGGCAGUGGUAAAACAUGAGAAAUUUAUCUUUAGAGUCAGGAGCAAGUCCAGGGUACCGUCAUCACAGCUUCUCCUCAACAUUUAAUUGUAAUUCCCAACCAGUGCAAUACUUCUUAAAAGAGUAAGAAUUAGAAAGAAGGAAGGAAAGGUAUCCUUAUUUAUAGACUGUGUGAUUAUUUAUACAGAAAAUGUAAGAGACUGUGUAGACAAGCAAGAGAACAAACAAGAAAAUUAAGCAUUCUAGAUACAUUUCAGGGUGUAAGAGGAAAUAAUUGUGUGUAUGUAUGUGUGUCCACCCUCCCAUUUCCAAUAAAUACCUGUGGAACAUAUGCAAGACCUAUUAGGUGAAAUUAUAAAACAUUAAAUAAAGGACGCACUGGAUAAAUGAGACUCUGAGGGAUGGAAAGAUAUAUUUGAGUUAAUCUCACAUAUCUCCCAUGAAUUUACAAUGAAUCUAUGAACUGUAAUUUCUGUCAGAGUCCCUAAAAACAUUUUAUGGAAUUUAACAAUGUAAUUCUUAAAACUGAUAUGGAAGAUUAAAGAGACAAAACUAGCAAAAAUUUUUGAAAAAGAAAUUGGGGAUUUGCCCUUGUAGGUUGAUUAUAAGGAGGUAGUUUUUGAGAUAGUGUGGUUUCAAGUAUAAAGGUAUAAAAAUAAGGGCAUAGAUAUUGGCCCACGUGUAUAUGGAGUCUUCAUCUAUGGGAUGGGAGCUUGCACAUCAGCAAGAGAUGUACUCAGGUGCCUACAUACAGGAAGAAGGAUGUACAUCUCCCAAGCAAAAAUACAUCUUGCAUGGAUUAAAAACUUUGAUUG